Nymphaea colorata (pocket water lily) is the source of this 1803-nucleotide long non-coding RNA. RefSeq lists it as uncharacterized. NCBI's taxonomy places the organism in Eukaryota, Viridiplantae, Streptophyta, Magnoliopsida, Nymphaeales, Nymphaeaceae. The record is from RefSeq and is a predicted model, not a curated record. The transcript is spliced from 10 exons.
UUUUCUUUUUCCCGCGAGUUCCAGGGAGGGAAAGCACCCUCUCUCUCAGGGAGCGAGGCUGGAUCCUCCAUGGCGCCAUGCCGACGAUGGAAGGAGGAUACAGACUGCGGGCGUGGGUUGCCGCAGUUCAUCAUUAGGAAUUGCGAGCAGCAGCUCCUAUCCAUCAGCCUCUCGCCGGACCAGACCAGAUUCUCCACUUGCCUCUGGUGGUAGAGUCCACUGAAGGUUGGGCAUCUAAAAGGUCGAGAGACAGAGGAACGAAGUGGAGAAGAGUUCGAUCGGCCUUGGUCCUCGCUCGUCGAUCUAUCGAUCCAUCGAAAGCCGACAAACAGAUGACCGUUUGUAGAUCGAGGGCAACGGAGAGGUUUCCAGAGAGAGUUCACCGUCCCUCAUUGUUCACGAUUUCACCACUUAGCGAUCGAUCGAUCGGUCAAUCUUUUUCUUACAUUCUACAGAACCCUACAAGUUUUUCUCUUCUCUGCGGUUCCCUCUUACAGUGCAAAAGCGUUGAGCGGGGCUCUUGGUCUGACUGUACAGAUCACGUGUUCGACAAGACUUGCACGAACUCGAGGGUUUAUGAGCGCCAUACGAAGGAUGUCAACCAAGCAGCAGUCAAGGGAUUCAAUGGAACUGUUUUCGCUUAUGGGCAGACCAGCAGUGGGAAAGCUUUCACAAUAAUUUGGUAGAUUUGUCUGGUUCAGAGCGUAUUCAAAGACUGGUGCUGGUGGCAUACGUUUGAAGGAAGGGAAAUACAAAAAUAAAAGCUUAAUGGCCCUUGGAAAUGUUAUCAACAGACUUAGUGAUAGUGGUGUUAGGCAAAGGACAUAUUCCUUACCGUGAUAGCAAGCUCACCGCAAUUCUUCAGGCUGCUUUUGGAAACAAUGCAAAGACUCCCAUUAUCUGUACUGUUGCACUUGAAGAGGUUCAUGUUGAUGAAACAAAGGGGACUUUGCAGUUCGCUGGUAGAGCUAAGCACAUCACAAAUUGUGUUAAAGUGAAUGAGGGAGCUUUUAAUUGCUGCCAAUAGGAAGAGUAUAGACGAUCACAUUGUCUUCUUGGGCUGGUUUGAAGACCAGAAGCUGAAGGAGCCAAAAGUUAUGGAAUUCCAGCAAGACAAGUGGAUGCCAAUGAUUCAAAUGAGAGCAAAUGGUGAUGAAAACUUGUUAGUGGGCUUCUGUGUGGAUUUAAAUGUUGAUGAUGGAAAAUUUGAAAUUGAAGUGGAUGGUGGAGGAAGGAUUCAACUUUCUUAUUGCAUUAUGCUAUGUCUUACUGUUGAUGGGAUGCUUACCUUGUUCCGUGUUGCCAAGACCUGAAGGAGAUGCUAGUUCGAUGCGGGUUCCUGUUUGAAUGCGACACAGAUACGGAAGUGAUCCCAAAGUUAGCUAAGUUGGCUUAUGAUACGCUGAUGGAGCAUAAGGAUGGAGAUGGCCAAGAUGAUGCGUUUGAGAAUCCAUACUCUAUUUGUACAGCUUCUGAAAAGUCUCUGUUGAGCUAUUUGCAUCUGCUAUCAUUGUUUUCUUCAGCCCAACGAUAGGUUUAUUCAAUUCGACAGUGUUAGGACCUGCUUAUACACCUCUAAAUAAUCUCAUUCUUCCUGAUUAAACGUGAUUAAGCCAACAUUGAUCAAUGCAAAACCCUUGCUUUUAACAUGAAAGAUGUGUUGCACUCUUCCUUUAGAGAAGCUAUUUCCGAUGGAGAACUGAACGGCCUUUAGCAGAAAAGAGGACAUCCCGCCCCCAAGCUGGGUAGCCUUCAAAUAUGUCCCUCAAGAAGAAUGGUGUUGUACAUGACAUGGUGCUUGUG